AGAAGAAUCAGAGAAGCAGAUGGAAGAUUUUAGAAAAAUCGAGCAGCUAACUGGUUCCUUGUAGCAAAUAUCACAUGGUUGAUAAUGUCUGCUCCCUAGUGCUCUUAGUCUCUGAAUGUCACACAUUGUGCUUUAUGCUAAGUCUCUGCGUGGCGGUCUUGGUGAUUCACUAAUGGAAGAAAAAUUAUGUAAAAUAUUUUUUUUAAAAAAAGAAAGUAACAUACCAGCCUAAGGUAUGGGUCAGUGGGCAUGCAUGGUCCCAUAGCCUUUUGCAUUAGCUCCAAGGGCAAAUUCUCUUCAUCCUCAGCCUCAGUCUUUUUGCAUCCCAAACCCCUGUUCCCUGACCACAGCCCCACAGUCCCUUUACUCCUGGCCCAUCCUUGCCCUGGUCACCAACCUCCUUCUAUCUCUUCCAUGGCCUCCACGGCUCCACUAUCCAGACAGUCUGACUGCCACAAUCCAUUCCCCUCAUUCCUGGUCUUCAGGGCCAAGAACACAUGGCCACAUCAGGCUGUGUAGUCAGGUGAACAGAUGACUGCAGAGAGCUGGCACCAACCCAUUUUUGGUUUUUGCCAACUAUGUUCAGGACACAGAUUUAACACUCAUAACCUAACAAAGCUUCCUGGAAUAUUAGCUCACCACAGGUUGCCAGAACGUCUGAUUUGCAUCUUACGCACUCCCCCCCCCCCUUUCUUCCUGAGAAAUUUGAGCGAUUUUGUUUUGGAAACAGGCAGCGAUUGCUUCAGAGAACAUUGCAAGGGCUGGAGAAACAGCAGGAGCACAAAGACAGAACUUUCCAGCACAUAGCACUGCUCCAAGCUGCCAUAGCAGAGAGGAGCAGGAAGGAAUCCUCCCUGCUAGAGGAGGACAGGAGAAAGGCAAGUCAGAGGCUGCAGUUCUUAAAGACACAGCAUUUGGAGAGAGAGGCGUUUUUGGCAGAACACAAUGAAAGGAGCUUUGAACAAGAGAAAGACAGGCUGGAUUUGCUCAGGAGCAGAAUACAGUCACAGCAGGAAAUAUGGGAACAAGAAUCACAGGAGCAGGACAGGCAGCAAAAGCAGCACCAUGCUGCCAAAAGGAGAGUGUUCCAGAGCAGAGACCAUUCCCACCAGAAGAGGGAAGAGGAGGGCCAAAAACACUGUGACCUCCAGCAGUACCUCAGAGACCAGAACCUUUUGAUGCUCCGGACAUCACUACUAGAGUGAAGAAGCUGCAGUGUGGGUAAGCAGGUCCUCGAGCAUUUCACAAACCUGCUCUGCAUCUUAUAGGUGUGAGUCAGUGCACUGGAGCUCAGGAAACAGUGCAGUUGUAACAAGCAAAACUACAGUUCCUGCAGAGAUCUUAUAGCUUCCUUUUCUUGCAGCCAGAGUGCAUUUUCACUGCUCUGUCCUUUGCAAGCUUUCCACUCUGCAGGAACUAGUCUAAUCCACCCAUUCAAUGUGUAGACCCCCCCCCAACUCUGUCUAUUAUGUCUUAUAUGUAUUGAGUGACCAAACUGACAGACCCAACUCUGCAACCAAGAGCUAAGUUGGUAUUUAAUUAUAGUGUUCAGUUCCUGCCCCAAAGGCAGUCCCCAUCUGGAGGGGCCUAGCUUUCUCCAUAGGACUCCAAAGAGUCAGCACCUGUAGUGUUGGGUUCAGGUUUGAGCCUGGUGAAAGAAAACAUCAUGGGAGCACUCCAGAGGGGAGCAACAGAGGAGCUAAGAGUUACAGAAGCCAUUCAGAGAAACAGCACAAGGCCUGGAGCCUGGCAGAUGGACAUCAGGCUAUAACUGAUUUCAAGCUGCAAAUGACAGAGACACGAAUUUGUUAAGUAAGGGCCUCCCACUGUCAAGGCCCACUCCCUGAAGUGUGCAGGCCACUCCCCUAGAGGAAGAAUGACUUAUGUGUAACUCCAAAAUGCAAAAAUAUGUUUUUUGGUGAAAAGCCACCAGUUCUAGGCAUUGUGAGGAAGAAAAUAUCUGUACUUCUCUGAAAUGUGCCUGGAGAAUCACUGAAUCCAGGGGCAGGCUUUGGGGGUCUGAUAUGUUUUACCUGUUGCCCCACCUUCAGGCUUGUCUACAAAAGCAGAAAGUUUUAAGCUGGGGAGAGUGUCAGGAAGGCAGUGAGACAGCUUUGCAAGUAGAGUGUCUGUUCAGAGUAAAUCAGCUUGACAUGCACCAUGAAUAAGUGAGGAGAAUGCUACUAAGACAAAUAUUUAGAUAAAUUGAAAGGUAAGUAGACAAAUUGUACCACAAACCGUGGUAGCCAGUAGCAGUAGCCAAGAUAGGAGAAGGAUUCCCCAUUCAGGCUACAGCUACAAGCUGGCAUCCAGGAUGCAACUAGCUCCCCCAAUUGUGUAGAAGCAUCACUCACUUUCCUUAGUGAAGCAUGCAGUUAUCAGCCACUCCCAUGGACAAGCUAUCACCUUCUCUCCCACAGAAGGGAAACAAUAAAACACACCAAGAGCCAGCUUUAUACA
Dromaius novaehollandiae (emu) is the source of this 2460-nucleotide long non-coding RNA. NCBI's taxonomy places the organism in Eukaryota, Metazoa, Chordata, Aves, Casuariiformes, Dromaiidae. The record is from Ensembl.